AACUUUCGACAACGGAUCACUUGGCUCUCGCAUCGAGGAAGAACGCAGCGAAAUGCGAUACGUAAUGUGAAUUGCAGAAUUCAGUGAAUCAUCGAAUCUUUGAACGCACCUUGCGCCCCUUGGAAUUCCGAGGGGCACACCCGUUUGAGUGUCGUGAACAUCCUUCAACCUUUCUUGGUUUCUUAACCGGGGAAGGCUUGGACUUUGGGGGUCUUUCAUUGCUGGCCUCUUUGAAGCCAGCUCCUCCUAAAUGGAUUAGUGUGGUCUGCUUUGCCGAUCCUUGACGUGAUAAGAUGUUUCUACGUCUUGGGUUUCGCACUGUCGCUUUAGACCCCGCUUCUAACCGUCUUGCAUUCAAGACAGAGUUUUAAACCUUGACCUCAAAUCGGGUGAGACUACCCGCUGAACUUAAGCAUAUCAAUAAGCGGAGGCU
Molecule: unclassified non-coding RNA, 433 nt
Filed under: uncultured Russula
Lineage: Eukaryota; Fungi; Basidiomycota; Agaricomycetes; Russulales; Russulaceae
Description: sequence contains ITS2
Rfam family: 5.8S ribosomal RNA (bases 1-154)
Source: RNAcentral